RNAcentral lists this ribosomal RNA (653 nucleotides) under uncultured Pseudomonadaceae bacterium. Its description in RNAcentral is "SSU rRNA". It matches the Rfam family "Bacterial small subunit ribosomal RNA", at positions 128 to 776 of the family's 1533-position model. Lineage: Bacteria; Pseudomonadati; Pseudomonadota; Gammaproteobacteria; Pseudomonadales; Pseudomonadaceae. The record is from RNAcentral.
GCCUGGUAGUGGGGGAUAACGUCCGGAAACGGGCGCUAAUACCGCAUACGUCCUGAGGGAGAAAGUGGGGGAUCUUCGGACCUCACGCUAUCAGAUGAGCCUAGGUCGGAUUAGCUAGUUGGUGGGGUAAAGGCCUACCAAGGCGACGAUCCGUAACUGGUCUGAGAGGAUGAUCAGUCACACUGGAACUGAGACACGGUCCAGACUCCUACGGGAGGCAGCAGUGGGGAAUAUUGGACAAUGGGCGAAAGCCUGAUCCAGCCAUGCCGCGUGUGUGAAGAAGGUCUUCGGAUUGUAAAGCACUUUAAGUUGGGAGGAAGGGCAGUAAGUUAAUACCUUGCUGUUUUGACGUUACCAACAGAAUAAGCACCGGCUAACUUCGUGCCAGCAGCCGCGGUAAUACGAAGGGUGCAAGCGUUAAUCGGAAUUACUGGGCGUAAAGCGCGCGUAGGUGGUUCAGCAAGUUGGAUGUGAAAUCCCCGGGCUCAACCUGGGAACUGCAUCCAAAACUACUGAGCUAGAGUACGGUAGAGGGUGGUGGAAUUUCCUGUGUAGCGGUGAAAUGCGUAGAUAUAGGAAGGAACACCAGUGGCGAAGGCGACCACCUGGACUGAUACUGACACUGAGGUGCGAAAGCGUGGGGAGCAAACAGG